This 478-nucleotide ribosomal RNA is filed under the name uncultured bacterium. RNAcentral's name for it is "partial 16S ribosomal RNA". It matches the Rfam family "Bacterial small subunit ribosomal RNA", at positions 28 to 507 of the family's 1533-position model. The record is from RNAcentral.
GAUGAACGCUGGCGGCGUGCUUAACACAUGCAAGUCGAACGAGAAGUGAAGACGGAAACCUUCGGGCGGAAGGCUUUAUUUCGAGUGGCGGACGGGUGAGUAACGCGUGGGUAACCUGCCUCAUACAGGGGGAUAACAGUUGGAAACGACUGUUAAUACCGCAUAAGACCACAGCACCGCAUGGUGCGGGGGUAAAAACUCCGGUGGUAUGAGAUGGACCCGCGUUCGAUUAGCCAGUUGGCGGGGUAACGGCCCACCAAAGCGACGAUCGAUAGCCGAUCUGAGAGGAUGACCGGCCACAUUGGGACUGAGACACGGCCCAAACUCCUACGGGAAGCAGCAGUGGGGAAUAUUGCACAAUGGGGGAAACCCUGAUGCAGCGACGCCGCGUGAGUGAAGAAGUAUUUCGGUACGUAAAGCUCUAUCAGCAGGGAAGAAAAUGACGGUACCUGAGUAAGAAGCCCCGGCUAACUACGUG